This 465-nucleotide ribosomal RNA is filed under the name Vreelandella stevensii. Its description in RNAcentral is "partial 16S ribosomal RNA". It matches the Rfam family "Bacterial small subunit ribosomal RNA", at positions 338 to 795 of the family's 1533-position model. The record is from RNAcentral. Lineage: Bacteria; Pseudomonadati; Pseudomonadota; Gammaproteobacteria; Oceanospirillales; Halomonadaceae.
CCUACGGGCGGCAGCAGUGGGGAAUAUUGGACAAUGGGCGAAAGCCUGAUCCAGCCAUGCCGCGUGUGUGAAGAAGGCCUUCGGGUUGUAAAGCACUUUCAGUGGGGAAGAAAGCCUUGGGGCUAAUACCCUCGAGGAAGGACAUCACCCACAGAAGAAGCACCGGCUAACUCCGUGCCAGCAGCCGCGGUAAUACGGAGGGUGCGAGCGUUAAUCGGAAUUACUGGGCGUAAAGCGCGCGUAGGCGGUCUGAUAAGCCGGUUGUGAAAGCCCCGGGCUCAACCUGGGAACGGCAUCCGGAACUGUCAGGCUAGAGUGCAGGAGAGGAAGGUAGAAUUCCCGGUGUAGCGGUGAAAUGCGUAGAGAUCGGGAGGAAUACCAGUGGCGAAGGCGACCUUCUGGACUGACACUGACGCUGAGGUGCGAAAGCGUGGGUAGCAAACAGGAUUAGAUACCCGGGUAGUC